UAUACAUGCAAGUCGAACGAACUCUGGUAUUGAUUGGUGCUUGCAUCAUGAUUUACAUUUGAGUGAGUGGCGAACUGGUGAGUAACACGUGGGAAACCUGCCCAGAAGCGGGGGAUAACACCUGGAAACAGAUGCUAAUACCGCAUAACAACUUAGACCGCAUGGUCCGAGUUUGAAAGAUGGCUUCGGCUAUCACUUUUGGAUGGUCCCGCGGCGUAUUAGCUAGAUGGUGGGGUAACGGCUCACCAUGGCAAUGAUACGUAGCCGACCUGAGAGGGUAAUCGGCCACAUUGGGACUGAGACACGGCCCAAACUCCUACGGGAGGCAGCAGUAGGGAAUCUUCCACAAUGGACGAAAGUCUGAUGGAGCAACGCCGCGUGAGUGAAGAAGGGUUUCGGCUCGUAAAACUCUGUUGUUAAAGAAGAACAUAUCUGAGAGUAACUGUUCAGGUAUUGACGGUAUUUAACCAGAAAGCCACGGCUAACUACGUGCCAGCAGCCGCGGUAAUACGUAGGUGGCAAGCGUUGUCCGGAUUUAUUGGGCGUAAAGCGAGCGCAGGCGGUUUUUUAAGUCUGAUGUGAAAGCCUUCGGCUCAACCGAAGAAGUGCAUCGGAAACUGGGAAACUUGAGUGCAGAAGAGGACAGUGGAACUCCAUGUGUAGCGGUGAAAUGCGUAGAUAUAUGGAAGAACACCAGUGGCGAAAGCGGCUGUCUGGUCUGUAACUGACGCUGAGCUCGAAAGUAUGGGUAGCAAACAGGAUUAGAUACCCUGGUAGUCCAUACCGUAAACGAUGAAUGCUAAGUGUUGGAGGGUUUCCGCCCUUCAGUGCUGCAGCUAACGCAUUAAGCAUUCCGCCUGGGGGAGUACGGCCGCUAGGCUGAAACUCA
RNAcentral lists this ribosomal RNA (889 nucleotides) under Lactiplantibacillus plantarum. RNAcentral describes it as "bacterial SSU rRNA". It matches the Rfam family "Bacterial small subunit ribosomal RNA", at positions 50 to 903 of the family's 1533-position model. The record is from RNAcentral. Lineage: Bacteria; Bacillati; Bacillota; Bacilli; Lactobacillales; Lactobacillaceae.